CACUAAGAGUACCUCUUCAUGAUCUCUUUACCAGUCGGUGUAGAACCAGUGAAGCCAACUUUGCGAACAUCUGGGUGUUUAGAUAAGUGCUGUCCCACUAAGCCACCUGGGAUGAGGAAAACAGCUUAACUGUACAGGUCUGCAAGCCUGCAAUCAAACCAUUACAAAUGCACAUCAAAGAGAAGUGACCUUUAACCACUGAGAGUGUAAAACUGUAUUUUGUAUGGCAAAGACCUGUAACUAAAAUAGUAUGGACAACCGACUGAGUGUUAGAUGCUUCAAAGGCACACAGAUCCUAAUGUAAUGCAAAUUGAAUUUUAUAUGCCUUAGCACAUUUAAAAAUCUGGGCUAGUCUCUUUUUAAAUUCAAGUUCUCUGUCUGUUGGCUUUGUGAAGCAUGUCAGUGAAGUAUAACACUAUCAAAAUGUUUGUGACAAAAAUUGUUAAUAGUAGCUAUAGGAGUGUCUCUUCACUGUCCUCUGCUCAGCAGAAAGUUAUGUUUGCAUGAAUGGAUUUUUACAACCAGGUCUUAGGUCUCUUAUAUAGAAAUGAAACAUGCGUCAAGGUUUUUCUUAAGUUUCUUUCUGUGUUUUGUUUCUCAAAUGUAUAAUUAAUGCUCUCAUGUGAUUUUAAGAGGUUGAUUACAUGCAUUUUAGAUCCCAUAAGGAGUAUUUAAAAGUGGGUUUGGAAACUAUUUUUUCCACUAUGUCAGUUCUGCUCAUUUAAAACAUUUGCAGAGAUGUGGAAAAAUGCUCUUUAAUACCUGUUCUAACUGCAUCCAGCAGUUAAUGGCCAGGGCAUCAGAAUUAGUGUGCAAAAGGAUAAGUAUGGCAUGUCAAGCACAAAGGAGAAAGUUCCACUUAGUGCACGCCUAAUACCUUCUGUAAAUGACUCCUUAAGACAAAGUAGCAGAGCCAGGCUUUUAACAGUACAAACUUCUCCAGUUUGGCACUCAAAAGGUCUAGUUUGAACAGAGGCCAGAGGAAAAAGGGCCCUUGUUUGAAUUAAGGUGGACUCUGACAGCGCGAGUAUGAAUAUCCAUCAACAGUGGAUACAUCGAACAGACAACAAGGGAUAUAACUGAGCAUGCAUCAGUUCUUCAGAGGAACAAAAUAUGAUUUUAAAAAAACAAAACAAAACAAAAACCACACGAGCUGCCCUUUACAUACUUGUACAUGAGUCGCCCUCUUUCUCUUGCAUUCAUUCUCCCCCAUUCACCGUUUUCAAAUGCCUCUUUUGCUGCUGCCACUGCUUUGUCAACAUCAGCCAAGGAAGCAGAAGAUACACUGGCAAUUACCUGUCACCAGGUAGCAAUGUGUUAGCUCAAACAGAAAGGCUGGAUGCAGAGUGUAACUCUUAACUGGGUAUAAGCAAAUAAUUAAUAUAAUAAUAAUCUAAUAACAUAGUAAUUAAUAAUAUAAUAUAAUAAAUAAUAUAAUGGAGCCAAUCAGCUGUCAUGGGUGAGACAUGCUGCAAGAAGUUGAGACACAGCUGAUGGUGGCAGAACUUGGAAGACAACAUAGGGACUCUGAUUCCUACAUCCUUCUUUACAUCAAGAUGCAUCAUCCCACUGGAUUUCGCCUUUUCUUUCUAUGUGUAAGAUCAGCACAGUAUUACAAAUGUUGAAGGUCUUUACAUGUGAUAUUAUGAUCUAAUAUUCAAAUAUGGUAAAAUGAGUCCUCAACAUUUCAUUUUUUAGGAGCUGAGUUUCUGUUACCACAACAUACAUAUAGUACUUUCUGAUGAUUGUGCUCUAUACAAAUAUACAUUGUAAAUCCUAACACAGAAUUGCUAUGACUUUUAUUCCAUUCCAUAACAAAGUACAAAGAAGUGCCAGUUUCUGGCUUCUGAUGACAGUGAAGUCUGUGCUACUGAUUUCAACAGAAUUCAGUUACUCCGGAAUUAAAAGGGGCAGCAGAAUGACUUCUUCUAUUAAUAAUUCUGAGUUGCUCAACCAAGAUUUAGUGCUUUUGAGGGGAAAAAGUGGAACUGUAUUUUCCUGUUGAAAAGUCAUUUUUCUAACUGGGUAUUUAAUGGGCUAUUAUAAAGUCACAUUUGCCCUAAGACAGAUGUGUAAAUAGAAGUAAAGUAAAAACUGAAAUUAAUGACUGACAGGAAAUACAUACAAUAUUGUAAAAGAAAUAUCUCUUUAGCAACUAAACAUUAGCCAUUUUUGUUUGCAAAGCUAAACAGGAAUGAGAAUAGGGUAAAACAUACAGCUGUAUGGAGAUUAACAUACUAGCUGAAGUGGAAUUGGGUUAUUUUUAAUGCACAACUUGACUGAAAUGCAAAAAAAAAGUAGAAUGUGUAAACUGAGAACCAAAUUUAAAUUUAAAAUUAUUUUGAGAUGUUGCUUAAUGUAUGGUUUUGAACUUGGUGAUAUUUGGUGCUUUAGAUUUUUUUGUAGGCAAAGGAAUUGAAAUAAACUGAAAUUGAGGGUUGGACUAGAUGAUCUCCAGAGGUCCCUUCCAACCCUUACAA
Numida meleagris (helmeted guineafowl) is the source of this 2480-nucleotide long non-coding RNA. RefSeq lists it as uncharacterized. Lineage: Eukaryota; Metazoa; Chordata; Aves; Galliformes; Numididae. The record is from RefSeq and is a predicted model, not a curated record. The transcript has 2 exons.